This 2949-nucleotide long non-coding RNA is filed under the name Fragaria vesca (wild strawberry). Its description in RNAcentral is "long non-coding RNA (FVES_LNC003668)". The record is from RNAcentral. Lineage: Eukaryota; Viridiplantae; Streptophyta; Magnoliopsida; Rosales; Rosaceae.
UUCUUUUCAUAACUCUUAAAGAACCGCUUUCCGCUUAAUGCGGCGUCUUGGUUAAUACCCCAACCCGCUUCGUGCGGGGUCACGGUUAUUACCCAAUCCCGUUUCGUGCAGGUCUCGAUUAUUACCUCAACCCGCUUCGUGCGGGAUCCCGGUUAUUACCUCAACCCGCUUCGUGCAGGUCCCGGUUAUUACCCUAACCCGCUUCGUGCGGGGUCUUGGUUAUUACCCCAACCUGUUUCGUGCAGGUCCCGUGUGUUACCCCAACCCGCUUUGUGCGGGUCCCGUGUGUUAUCCCAACCCGUUUCGUGUGGGGUCCCGGAUAUUACCCCAACCCGCUUCGUGCGGGUCCCGGUUAUUACCCCAGCUUGCUUCGUGCGGCGUCCCGGUUAUUACCCUAACCCGUUUCGUGCGGCGUCUUUGUUAUUACCUUAACCCGCUUCGUGCGGCGUCCCGGUUAUUACCCCUUACUGUUUCGUGCGGUGUUCCUCUUAUUACCCCUUACUGCUUCAUGCGGUGUCUCGGUUAUUACCCCAACCCCGUUUCGUGCGGGGUCCUGGUUAUCACCCAACCCGUUUCGUGCGGCGUCCAGGUUAUCACCCAACCCGCUUCGUGCGGCGUCCCGGUUAUCACCCAAACCGUAUAGUGCGGCGUCCAGGUUAUUACCCCAACCCGCUUUGUGCGUUAUUCCGGUUAUUACCCUAACCCGUUUCGUGCGGGUCCCGGUAAUUACCUUAACCCCGUUUCGUGCGGCGUCUCGGUUAUUACCCCAGCUUGCUUUGUGCGGGUCCCGUGUGAUACCCAAAACAGUUUCGUGCGAGGUUCCGGUUAUUACCCCAGCUUGCUUCGUGCGGCGUNNNNNNNNNNNNNNNNNNNNUCCGUGCGGCGUCCCGGUUAUUACCCCUUACUGCUUCGUGCGGUGUCUUGGUUAUUACCCUAACCCCGCUUCGUGCGGGGUCCUGGUUAUCACCCAACCCGUUUCGUGCGGCGUCCCGGUUAUCACCCUAACCCGCUUUGUGCGUUGUCCCGGUUAUUACCCUAACCCGCUUCAUGCGAUGUCCCGGUUAUUACCCCAACCCGUUUUGUGCGGUGUCCCGGGUAUUACCCUAACCCGCUUCGUGCGGGUCCCGGUUAUUACCCCAAACCCGCUUCGUGCGAUGUCUCGGUUAUUACCCCAGCUCGUUUUAUGCGGCGUCCCGGUUAUUACCCCUUACUGCUUUGUGCGGCGUCCUGGUUAUUACCCUAACCCGCUUCGUGCGACCUCCUGGUUACUACCCCUUACUGUUUCGUGCGGGGUCCCUGUUAUUACCCCAACCCGCUUCGUGCAGGUCCCGGUUAUUACCACAACCCGCUUCGUGCGACGUCCCGGUUAUUACCCCAACCUGCUUGGUGCGGCGUACCGGUUAUUACCCCAACUCCGCUUUGUGCGGUGUCCCGGUUAUCCCGGUUAUUACCACAACCUAGCUUCGUGCACCGUCUGGUUAUCACCUAACCCGUUUCGUGCGGCGUCCCGGUUAUUACCCCAACCCGCUUCGUGCGUUAUCCCGGUUAUUACCCUAACCAGCUACGUGCGGGUCCCGGUUAUUACCCCAACCCGUUUCAUGCGGGUCCCGGUUAUUACCCCAACCCCGCUACGUGCGGUGUCUCGAUUAUUUUCCCAGAUCGUUUCGUGCGGCGUCCCGGUUCUUACUCCAACCCGCUUCGUGCGUUAUCCCGGUUAUUACCCUAACCAGCUUCGUGCGGGUCUCGGUUAUUACCUUAACCCGUUUCGUGCGGGUCCCGGUUAUUACCCCAACCCCGCUUCGUGCGGCGUCACGGUUAUUACCCAGCUCGCUUCGUGCGGCGUCUCGAUUAUUUACCCUAGAUCGCUUCGUGCGGCGUCCCGGUUCUUACCCAAACCCGUUUCGUGUGGCGUCCCGUUUAUUUACCCAACCCGCUUCGUGUGGCGUCUAGGUUAUUACCCUUUACUGCUUCGUGCGGUGUCCCUGUUAUUACCCAAACCCCGCUUCGUGCGGGGUCCUGGUUAUCACUCAACCCCGCUUCGUGCGGUGUUCCGGUUAUCACCCAACCCGUUUCGUGCGGUGUCCACAUUAUUACCCCAACCCGCUUUGCGCGUUAUUCCGGUUAUUACCCUAACUCGUUUCGUGCGGGUCCUGGUAAUUACCCUAACCCUGCUCCGUGCGGCGUCUCGGUUAUUACUCCAGAUCGUUUUGUGCGGGUCCUGUGUGAUACCCUAAACAGUUUCGUGCGGGGUUUCGGUUAUUACCCCAGCUUACUUCGUGCGGCGUCCCGGUUAUUACCCCUUACUGCUUCGUGCGGUGUCCAGGUUAUCACCCUAACCUCGCUUCGUGCGUUGUCCCGGUUAUUGCCCUAACCCGUUUUGUGCGGAGUCCUGGAUAUUACCCGAACCCGCUUCGUGCGGGUCUCGGUUGUUACCCCAACCCCGCUUCGUGCGGCGUCCCGGUUAUUACACCAACCCGCUUCGUGCGGCGACCUGAUCACUACCCCUUACUGCUUCGUACGAGGUCCCCGUUAUUACCCCAACCCGCUUCGUGCGACGUCCCGGUUAUUACCCUAACCCGCUUCGUGCUGCGUACUGGUUAUUACCCCAACUCCGCUUCCUGCGGGGUCCCGGUUAUUACCCUUAGUGCUUCGUGUGUUGUCCCGGUUAUUACCCUAACCCGCUUCAUGCGUUGUCCCGGUUAUUACCCUAACCCGCUUCGUGCGUUGUCACGGUUAUUACCCUAACCGCUUCGUGCGGCGUCCUGGUUAUUAACCUAACCCUCUUCGUGCGUUGUCCUAGGUAUUACCCCAACCCGUUUUGUGCGGAGUCCCGGGUGUUACCCUAACCCGCUUCGUGCGGGUCUCGGUUAUUACCCCAACCCCGCUUUGUGCGGCGUCUCGGUUAUUACCCCAGUUCGCUUCGUGCGGCUUCCCGGUUAUUACCCCUUA